This 472-nucleotide ribosomal RNA is filed under the name uncultured organism. RNAcentral describes it as "partial 16S ribosomal RNA". It matches the Rfam family "Bacterial small subunit ribosomal RNA", at positions 334 to 797 of the family's 1533-position model. The record is from RNAcentral.
CACUCCUGCGGGAGGCAGCAGUGGGGAAUUUUGGACAAUGGGCGAAAGCCUGAUCCGGCAAUGCCGCGUGAGUGAAGAAGGCCUUCGGGUUGUAAAGCUCUUUUGUCAGGGAAGAAACGGUGAAAGCUAAUAUCUUUUGCUAAUGACGGUACCUGAAGAAUAAGCACCGGCUAACUACGUGCCAGCAGCCGCGGUAAUACGUAGGGUGCAAGCGUUAAUCGGAAUUACUGGGCGUAAAGCGUGCGCAGGCGGUUUUGUAAGUCUGAUGUGAAAUCCCCGGGCUCAACCUGGGAAUUGCAUUGGAGACUGCAAGGCUAGAAUCUGGCAGAGGGGGGUAGAAUUCCACGUGUAGCAGUGAAAUGCGUAGAUAUGUGGAGGAACACCGAUGGCGAAGGCAGCCCCCUGGGUCAAGAUUGACGCUCAUGCACGAAAGCGUGGGGAGCAAACAGGAUUAGAUACCCCUGUAGUCCCA